Molecule: long non-coding RNA, 19781 nt
Filed under: Medicago truncatula (barrel medic)
Lineage: Eukaryota; Viridiplantae; Streptophyta; Magnoliopsida; Fabales; Fabaceae
Description: long non-coding RNA (MTRU_LNC005374)
Source: RNAcentral
GUAUCACAAUUGUAUAACAGGUUUACUUGAGAAGAAACAACACCAUCACGUUGAAACAUAGUGCUAUCAAAAGUUCUGUUCUUGGGAUUUCCACUCACAUUGACAGCACAAAUACCACUCCAGUAAUCGUCUCUGGCGAUCGUGAGUUUCUGUAUUAUAUCAUUCCAAUCAUGAAUACGGUAUUUGGCGUCAUUGAUGGUUAUCUUUGGAACACUUUCUUCGCAUGUAAGCUCCAUAUUAGGAUCAGAAGAAACACCACCACAAUAUUUUUUCCUAUUUUCUCCCCAGAAUGGAUACUUGAUGUUCGUGAUGCUGCUUCCGCAGUUAAAAGCGUUGUUACAGUUUGUGUAUUGGUCGUCAUCAUCACACAUACACGUUGGAAUAUUGAUGAUUGAGAUCAACAAAAGGGUGAAGGAGAAUAAGGAAAUAAUAAUGGAAGAAGAUGGAUGAUGAAGUAGAGGGUUUCAUUCUUUCUUGCGCUAGACCAAAGAAGUAAUAGUGGAACAAGUGUAAAUAAUAAGAUAAGAUUGAUUUGGGUUAGAUAAACUUAACAUCUUGAUUUAGUCAGCUUAAAAUUAUAAUGAGAGUUGAUUCAACUCUACUUUCACUUUCAUGUUUCUUUCUUUUUAUGAAAAUCCACUUUCAUGUUUCAAUGCAUCAUAAUUUUCUACACUUUGUGAAGUUUCUAGGAAACUACAUGUAGAAUUCAAUACAUUAAGUUACUGUUGUAGUAAAAAAUUAUGAUACUUAAUACUCCAUCUAUCUUUUACUAUAGGAGUCUGUAACAAAAACAAUGAGUAUUAAAUUUCAUUUUUGAAGUGAUGUAAAUAAUACUAAUUUUAAUAUAUUGGUACGUAAACUUUGUUAUUUCUUUACCAACCAAUGCCCAUUUUUUCACCACCUCCAAAUUGUGUUAACAUUUUAUGCAGAUUUUUGUUGGCAUUCACUUUAGUCACCGUAUUUGUUUGUAAUUUGGCGUAUUACAUCUGCGCAUGAAAAAAAAAGUAUUGCAAGAAAUUCGGCAACAGGUGGCCUUCAAUCCGUGGUGGUUGAUCAAAAACCACCCCACAUUAAAAGUUGCGGUUGAGCUGUUCACUCUUGGUAACCAUCACAGGUUCACUUCUAUUUAUUUUUAGAUUUGUUUUUGGUGUUUAUAGACUGUGAGUUUAAAUAUUUUCGAUACAUGAUUUGGUGUUUUAUGUUUAUGAUGUUACAGAAACACCACUAUCAGGAACAGGUUUGCAUCGCAUGCUGCCACUGUUUCAAAAAUCUGAGUUUCACAGUUUUUAUGCAGAUUAUCUUUGAGUUCGGGUAGCGUUAAAUCAAAUGAUACAUUUACAAUUGAUUCCUUCUGUGUAAACUAAAUUAGAAGCUGGGAAAAGCAUCAUAAGUGCAAGUUUAGACAAGUAUGGUGCAUGACUUGAAUUCACAACAGAAAUAAUAAGAUUGAUGUAAAAAAUAAAAACAGUAAGUGGCCAGUUUAGUGACAGUAAAUUAGUCACUACGAUAACUAUAAUUCGUGCAAAAUGGAUUUUGAAGUUCAACAAACUAAUACCAUAUUUGUAUGCCAGAAAUAGUUACACAAAUUAAUUAGUCCAUUGAAUUUAUAGAAAUAACAAUUAUUUUGAUACUGUAACUGAAUUUGUCUCGUACAAAUCGGAUGAAGACAUAUCUGACACUUGUAGUUCUGGCCUUUCGGGUGAAUAUAAGACAGGCUUUGGAGGAUAUGAUACCGAUGAAAGUGGUCCUUGCAACAUUUCUAUUACUUUAUUCAUCGGUGGUCUAUCUGAUGGUUUAGUUUGAAUGCACCAUAGACUCACCAAAGUAAUCUUUCUGAUCAUAUCAUUUUCUUCCUCCGAGAUUGUUGAACAAUUUAAAAGAGUAUUCCCUUGCUCAAGAUCCUUAUAAAUCCAAUCUGGAAAGUACAUUUCAGAAGUACAUGACCCUCCCGUGUCGUAGUUCUUCCUUCCUCCGAUCAUUUCAAGAAUCAACAUGCCAUAACUAUAUACAUCAGAUCUGUACGAAACUCCACCAAACGCUCUACUAAAUAUUUCUGGUGCCAUGUAUCCUAUAGUUCCUCUUGCCCCUAAUAUUGACACAAUACUAUCCUUCCUUUGGCAUAUUUUAGCUAGUCCAAAAUCUGAGAUUUUUGGACAAAAAUCUUCAUCCAAAAGAAUGUUUUGAGGUUUUAUAUCAAGAUGUAGAAUCCUUGAACUACAUCCUUGAUGCAAGUACUCUAGACCUUUAGCAAUGCCAAUUGCAAUUCGAAACAAAGUGUUCCAAUCAAAAUCACAAAUGGCAUUAGGAAAUUCACUUUUGUAGAUGAACUUAUCCAAUGAUCCUUUGGGCAUGAAUUCAUAUAUUAGCGCUCUUUUGUUCUCUUCGUAACAAUAUCCUAAAAGCGACACAAUGUUCAUAUGUGAUGUCCUACUAAUGCUAGCAACUUCAUUUAUGAAUUCUUCUCCAUUUCCCUUUGUCUCGCUUAUUACUUUCACUGCCACUUGACGACUAUUAUAUAAACUUGCUUUGUAGACAACACCAUACCCUCCUUGGCCUAACUUUUCUCGAAAAUAGUUUGUGAUCAUUUUCACUUCUGCAUAACUAUAUCUUCUUGGCAUGGAUAAAUUAUGACUGCGCAUGAAAACCUCCACAUUGUUGUCAACAAGUUCUGUUCUUUCUCUCAAGAUAGUUUGUGGGAUAAGACUUGAUUGUUGUUGUUGUCUGAGAAUAAUCAUUUGUUGUCUACCUGUACCUCUUUUAAGGCGACGACUAAUCAUGAUAAUAAUGAACACGGUUACUCCAAAUCCAGCAAUGGAAGCACCUGAAUUUAUGCAAAGAACAAAUAAAUAAUUUUCAUAUCUUGUUUAUGUAGGAAAAAAUAAUUUAUGUCGUCAGGAUAAUAUGGAAUGAGACACGCUGAUAUUAGAAAGUGUAACCAAAUUGUUUAUUAUUCUUACCUAUUAUCACUGGCCCCCAAUUCCGCUUUGAACCUACAAUUCAAAAACCAAAUUAGAUAGAACUUAUAAUAAUCACGCUCAUGCAUUAUCUUGAAGAGAAAUAGGCAUUUAUUUUCUUAUUGCUUUGUAUUUUUGCAGCAGAAAUGAAGGGAAAUUGCCUUCCAAUUUUGAGCAACACGCUCGGCUCAUGUUGAUUUUGAUGGAGAAAAUAGAGUGAGCAAUCGACCUUUGAACACAAAAAAGCUAGUUUAUAGCUUGUUGGACUAGCUUAUAAGCUUGUUUUGAUAAAAUGAGACGUGUUUGGUAAAAAGCUUUUAUCACUAGCUUAUAGCGUUUUUUAAGAAGCUAAUCCAAAUAGCUUUUUAGCUUAUAGCUUGUAGCUUUUUAUACUUUCUUCCCAUUUUAACCUUUUCUUAAUUUUAUUUUAUUUUAUUAUAAUAAAAAAAAAACUACCCACUAUCAUCUUCAACUAACCAUGUUUACCAUGUAUGACUUUUUAAAUUUUCUUGUCCACUUUUUUGUUUUUUUUUUACUUUGCUCAUAAUUCAUAUAAUAUAUAAUUUUAUAUAAAAUUUAUAAUAGUGAAGCAAGUUUAGUUAAAUAAAAUUCAUAAAAAUAAAAUAUAAAUUGUUAAAUAAAAAAAUUCGAUUGAAUUCAUAAAUACAUUUAUUAUUUUGGAGAUGAAAAUAAUUUGAAAUAUAUUUAAAUAUUUAAAAAUAAAUGUGUUAAGUAAUAAAAAUUAUAUAUAUGAUAUUAAAAAAAAUUAAACAAGCAUGUCCUUUUAUGUCAUUUUAUAUUUAUAGUCACUUCAACAGCUAAUUUUACCCAACACUUUUAAUUUUAAUCAGCUAACUUUUCAGCUAUAAGCUAUCAACUAUCAGCCAUCAGCUAUCAGCUAGCUUAUCAGCUAUCAGCUAGCUUAUAGUUUUUUUUUACCAAACACACCCUAUCUUUUCCGUUCCAUUUUUUCUUCUUUUCCCUUUCAUUUAUUUUCCACUUUUCAUUCAUUUUACAUUUGUGUAAUUUUAUAUGAGAUGUGUUAUUUAAAGAACCAUUUAAUUAACAACUUAUUUGACAACUAUUGAUUUACAAAGAAAAAGUAAAUAUUGAACCCUCAUUUAGUUUUGGUAGUAAUUGUUAUCUAUUAAAAGUAUAGAAUGAACCCUCAUUCAAUCUUCUUGUCACUUUAUUUACUCCUUGACCAAUAUAAUAUUUCCUUGAUUUUAUAGAACUAGUGUUGCUUUAUCAUAAUUUUUAUAGAACAUAUACCUUAAAAAACAUCUACUGAUUUAUAAAUUUCCUUAGAAGAAAAAAAUCUACCUGGUAAAAUCUGAUUGUAAAAAAGUUGAAACACUUAUUGGAUCAGGAUGAUCUCUAAACUCUAUUAUUACUAUAACUAGUUAUAGAAACUAACUUAGGAGUUAAUUGUAUAAGAAAGUGAACUACAUACUUGAGGUUGGGGCCUUCCGUGAACCACAUAUAUCUGUAUAAGCUCCAUCAUUGCAGAAACAUCUGAAUUCAGUUCCAUUGUUGCCACACGCACCACCAGAAUCAACACACCUCUGGGCAAUCUGCAUAAUUUCCCAUCCACCUCAAAUCAAAACCGCCUUGUAAUGCUUCGUUUAUAUCAUCAAGAUUUGUAAUUCUUGUUACCGAAAUUGGAAUCGCAAUAAUAACACUCAGAUUGCAUGUGAGUGAGAGCGAACGAGGAUCCGAAAGGGUGUACACAACUUCAAUAUUACCUCCGCAGUUGGCACUAUAAACCACAUUCAAUACAGUUGUAUCACAAUUGUAUAACAGAUUUAGUUGAGAAGAAACACUACCAUAAGGUUGAAACUGGUCAGCGCUCUCAAAUGUGCUGUUAUUAGGCUUGUCACUCACACUCACACUCACAGUACAAAUACCACCCCAGUAAUCGUCUCUAGCGACUGUGAGUUUCUGUGUUGUAUUGUCCCAUUCAAGAAUACGGUAUUUGACGUCAUUGAUGGUUAUCUUUGGAACACUUUCUUCGCAUGUAAGCUCCAUAUUAGGAUCAGAAACACUACCACAACGCUCUUCUCUGUUAUUUCCCCAGAAUGGAUACUUGAGGUUUGUGAUGCUGCUACUUCCGCAUUCAAAAGCUUCGUUGCAGUCUGUGUAAUCAUUGCACAUACACGUUGGAAUAUUGAUGAUGAAGAUCAUCAAAAUGGUGAAGGAGAAAAAUGAAAUAAUAAUGGAAGAAGAUGGAUAAUGAAGCAGAGGUUUCAUUUUUGCCACUAGACCAAAGAUGAAAUAGUGGGACAAGUGUGAAUAAUAUGAUUGAUUUUGGUGAGAUAAAGAUAAAUAAUCAUUUUGUCAGCUUAAAAUUUAGAAUAUUCAACUCCCAUUUCACUUUCAUUUUAAUUCAAUUCAAUGCAUGAUUAUUUUCGAUUUCUUUGAAGUUUCUGCGAGACUGGAUCGAAGCUACUGCCAAUGUAGAAUUUAAUACACGAAGAACUUUGUUUUAGUCGUUGUAUUGCCAAUGUAGAAUUUAUAUUAAUUAUUUAUUGGGUCAUGCUGAUGUGUGUUCUUAUAACGCAUGUUAAAUAUUAAAUUCCUUGCCAUUAAUGAUAAGAAUUAAUUAAAAAAAAUUAAUAUUAAACUUUGACUGAUGCUAGUCACACAAAAAAAAAACAAAUUACAUCCAAAUUUAUUUAAAAUUUUACAAUAAUACCAAAAUUGUCCUCUUCAUGUAAAUUUUUAAAAAUUCAUCUUUUAUGAUCAUUCUGAACCCUUACUCCCUUUCAUCCACAAAUCACCAUAGAUGUGCAACCAAUAUCUGAAUCAACAUCUUUGUUAUUGAUCUGUACUAUAUUCAUAAAGGUUAGUGAAUUUCAUAAAUUUCAUUUUCGAUGAGUUUCUAUUUGUUUAUUGUUUGUUUUGAUAUGAGAUAUGCCUGUCAAUUUGAUUUUAAGUGGGAGGUUAGUGUAAAUUAAGUUUACGUGUAUGUAUAUAAAAGGGGUUAGUGUAGUUUACGUAUGUAGGUUAAUGUAAAUUCAAGUUUACGUAUGUUCAAUUUAGGUUAGUGUAAAUUCAGUUUACAUGUAAAUUAAGUUUAUUUAUGUUCAAUUUAGGUUAAUGUAAAUUUAGUUUACGUAUGUAUAUAAGAGGUUAGUGUAAAUUCAGUUUACUUACGUUCAAUCUAGGUUAAUGUAAAUUAAGUUUACUUAUGUUCAAUCUAGGUUAAUGUAAAUUCAGUUUAAUUACGUUCAAUCUAGGUUAAUGUAAAUUAAGUUUGUAAAUUCAGUUUACUUACGUUCAAUCUAGGUUAAUGUAAAUUAAGUUUACUUAUGUUCAAUUUAGGUUAAUGUAAAUUAAUUUUACUUAUGUUCAAUUUACGUUAAUGUAAAUUUAGUUGAUUUGAAAUUUUUAUUUUAGUUAAAGGGUAUAUUAGUCAUUCUGGGGUGUAACUUGUUUUUUUGGGGUGUGACUAGCACCAGUCUUAAACUUUUUGAACAAUAAAUUAACACAAUUUUCGAUACAUAAUUUCUAUUAGUAAAUUUUUUAACAUUAAACACAAUUUAGUAUUUCCCUUAUUUAUUUACCAAUAGUAUGUUAGUACUUAUUUAUUUUACAUAUUUUUUCAAUCAACAAUAUUAAUAAAUAUCUUGAAGAUAUAAACUACUCCUAAUUCUCUAUCUUAAAAUAUAUAAUCGUAAUAACUAACGGUCAUUACAAACAAAUUUAAUCUUAGCAAUAAGCAACCGAAGACUUCUUACUUUUCAUUUUUCUUGUGCUUCGUGUUUUAAUCUUGAUUUAUGAUCAAGACUUGAAAAUUGAACUAUUGUGAAUAAAUUACACUUAACUGCUUGCUUUAACCAAAAGUUUAGAGCAACUGAUUUUAUUUUUUUGUAUCUUUUUCUUUGAUUGUGAUUUAUUUUUUUAAAGGAUUCUUUGUUUGUGAUUAUAUUGUCGGGAAGCAUAGCAUAGUCCAAACCUAACUCUUUUAGCAAGCAUAGAAUAGUCCAAACUUGACUAGACUCCUAAAUUUUGAUUAUAAAAUCAAGAAUAAUGUGGUACCAAAUGAUAGUAUAAUCAAGAAUAGGUCAGACGCAUUGUAAAAAAAUAAAUAAAAAUAUAUUAGUCAGAUAUUUUGUAAAAAAAAAAAUUAGGUAUCAAUAUCUUAAAUUGACUUCCUCUAAAAAAAAUCAUAGAUUAACAAUAAAUCAACAUUAAGAGUACUUAUUCAAAAUUGUCUAUGUGUUUUGACAUUUGUGUCUAAUCUUAUUAUUUUAUCAUUAUUGUAAAGUAGUAUCAGAAAGAGUAUGGAAAGAGAGAAGUUGAUGAGAAAGAGAGUAGAUUUCACAUAUAGUGUUUGGUACUAAAAAGAAAGGAGAGGAAUAGAGGAGAAGAAAAUGAAGAAAACCUAACGUUUUUGAAUUAAAACUAAUCGAAAGGACCAAAAUGUGUAACGGAGAAAAGUUAUGGGACCAAAAUAAAUCAAAUUUUACUUGAGGGUCCAAAACGAUACUACCUGAAUAAUUAAGGUACUAAAAAUGCAAUUUAGCCAUUAAUUAAAUAAAUAGUGGCCGCAUAUCAAGAGGCAUAUCAAAACCAGGGAGAAAUAUGGAAAAGAAGAAAAAAUUGCAGCUCCCCUCCAUUUCUUCGUACAUGCAAAGAGAAAUGCAAAAGGCAUGGGUCCCACCUAAUUUUAUCUCUCUUCUUAGUCUCUCUUCUCAACCAAACACAAGAGAUUGGUUAUCUCUCCCCAACUUCUCUCUCCCCUCUUUCUCUCUUUCUUAUUUCUACUCUACCAAACACAGUGUAAGUCUUAAUAAGUUAAGAGAGUUAAGCAUGUGAAAAAUGAUUCAUUAUAAACUCAAUGAUUCAUGUUCCUUGGAUCCACUCUCCCUCCCACAUCAAGGAGGAUCAUAGCAAAUUUCUAAUAAAAAUCAUAAAAUUUUGAAAAAUGCUAACAAUUGUUUUUAUAGCAUUGUUUAACGAACUAAAAAAGAUAACUUUUGAUUAGAAAAUGAUAUAAUUAUUAUUUAUACAAUUCUUUAACUUAUUAUAUCAAUAUAUGAUUUAUUAUUAUGUAUUUCUUAAAUAAUAACUUUAGUACACAUGUUAGCAUGACUCACUUAUAAUGAGUUACAUAUCUAUUAUAUUUUCAAUUUAUAGUUCAUUCCUAUGUCACACUUGAAUUUCAACAUACACCAUCUCCUUUCUAAUAAUAUUAGAACUUAAAAAGAAUAAUUCACAUAGUCAAAAUUAUAUGGAGUGCUGUUUUAUAGAGGAGAAAGACCAACUAGUUAUAUUAUAGUUAUAGUUUAGUACAAAUACUCCCCAUUUAUUAUUCACAUAAGGGGGGAAAGAUUUCGGUUCUGUAAGACAAGAAAAGUACACCCUUAUUUCGGUCAUAACAAUAAAUGUAUAGCUAAGCCACAAACGGGGAAAAGUACAUUUGAUCUUAGUUAUGAUAAAUCAUCCCACAUUACCCAGCCCUAAGCAUAAAGUGUAUUAAAAUCUAAAAUGUCUAUUUGAGAGAAAUUUAUAUUCAAUAAUGCACGUAGUAGGCCUGCAUUUUUACACCUUAUAAAUAAAUAGGGAAUUAGAGAGCACCACAGUGAUGUGCACUUCUUGAGAGGACUUGUACAAGACAAUGCAAACAAAACAACCGAACGAUUUGGUCAUACAUACAACUAGAUUACUUGAAAUCUUAAACAGAUACUGAACCAGUGAACCCUCUAUUGCGAAGAUUGUCAUUAUCCUAAGCAACGGUUCUGACCUUAGUCAACAAAAGCAAUGCUACCUUACAAUUAAUAAAUGAUUGAAGCUUUGUUUUCUUUGGUUCCAAUCAUGGUUCUAUAACAUACCGUAAGAGUGUAAACAUUCCUAAGUACGGAUUAAUUUCAUAAUCUCUGAGCAAUUUGUUCAGCCACUUGAUCCAAGUUUAAUGUGACAUCACUCUUUUUUAAGUCGAGUGAUUAAACUAUGAGAGGAAGGCACAAAUAAAAGAAGCACAUUAAAAAAAAGAUGUAUAGAGGAAAACAUAAACUUGUGGGUUGCUUAAGUGUAUGUUUACUUCCACUUUUAAAGGGAACAUAAUUGAUUUUGAAGUUGUAUAAUUAAUUUUGACAUGUUGGCUUGUUGCAAAGUAGAAUUGAUUUUGUCUCUUGAAUUGAUUCUCAUUAAAGCUAGGAUUUGUAGCCUUUGGUUAUAAAAUUGAUUUUCACGCAAAUUUAUAGUUCAACGGUAUUUAAACACAAAUCACUUCUAGUAAAAAUAUUCAAACACAAAUCACUUAUAAUAAAAAUGACUUUUAACCAAAAUCAAUUCUACAGAAUUAAUUCUAUCAAAAUCGAUUAUUUCCACCACACAACCAAACACAGACCAAGUAUGUUAAAUCUAAUAACUGGUGUGUCAGUACAAAACUAGAACUUUGAAUAAUAAUAGUAUAAUGAUUUUUUCUAGAUUACCUUCGAAGAAUGGUGGGUAAUUUACCCACCAACUAAUGAAAAUGAGCAAUUUGUUGGUGGGAUCAAGAUAGUUCAUGGAUACCACUUAAAAAUGUGCUUAUGUGACUAAUGUAUAUUGGUUGGAGUAAAUUACCACCAUUCUUCCAUGGGUAUCCUAGUUGUCACCUGGUAUAAUACUACGAAAAAGAAUAAUAAUACUACGAAAAAGUUAUCUUAGAAGGCAAAUGGAGACAAUCUUUGUAACAAGGCAUCAUCGAUUCCUACACAGCAGCAAUUCCAAUAAAAAGAAAAAAUAUACACGAUAAGGAAAAUGUUAACCAUUGUCCUUAAAUAAGGAGAUAAAAAUAAAAAUAUAAUAUUAAAAAAUGAUGAAAAGUGAUAAAUUUAACUUUUUAAAAAUCAAAAUGUUGUUGAAACCAAUGCAAACUCAUACUGUAUUUAACUUUUUGGCUUCUUUAAUCAAUGCCUUGUGAGCAUUGCGGACAAUGGUUAGCAAACCCAUAUUCUAAUUAUAAUUAUACCAACUAUUCUAUUUAUCAAUCACUUCAUUAAUCAAUCAGUGCAUUUCUUCUAUUCAUUAAUAAUUCUUCUAUUUAACCAAAUAUUUUGACUCCAUUAAGAGUAAUUAACCAUCAAACGCACAAAAUUCAGCAAACGACGUCGUACAUUAUUAAAGCGCCCAUUUCCGCCAAACGUUAGUUUCGUUAACUUUUUACCAGAAACAUUUCCGCGCACGUUAGCAGCAAAAACUAAACGUGAUUAUUUAUUCAUUUGGCUACAACUAAACGUGAUUAUUAAUAAUUUUUUACUAUUACUAUCUCCAAAAAAAAAAAAAAAAUCUGAAUUCAACCGUACAGUAACAGUAGAGAGAAACUGUAACCGUUACUCAGGAAUAGUGAACAAUACCGGCCGCCAUGCUCUUCUCAGUAACCUGUAACGAAACGCUGAUGACACCGGCCGGAGAGCCGCGACGGCAGAAGAUCGACGGAACGGAGAUCCAGUUCGGAAUCGGACAGCGACGGUGGAGCAAUCUUUCUGAUCGUAAUUCUGCUGCUGUUGCUGCUGUUGGGAGAUAUUCUUCUCGUCUUGUAGCAUCGUCGGCGGAGACGGAAGUGACGGCGGAGAUGGAGAGGAGACGAAUAGGUCUUUAAGCUUGUGGCGAACUUUGACUUCAUCGGAGGAAGGAGGAGGUGGAUCUAGGGGAGGAGGAUGGAAACGGCGGCGGUCGUGCGGACGAGUGAGGAACAUGCGGAGGGUUUUGCGGCGGCGGAGGUGGAUGACGGGACUGGUGGUGGGACUGCGUGUGGGGCUGUUGGCGAUGGCGCAUUGUGUAGCUAAGAGCUUGAAUUUGUGCAUUUAGGGAUAGAAUUAAAUGAAUUUGGGGUUUUUUGUUUUAUUUGUGAAGAGAGAUGAAGGUUAGAUCUGAGAAGGAUAGUGUUUGGAAUUAGAAAGUAGAAUGAGAAUAGAAUGAUUGGGUUGAGUAUUAUCGGGGGAAUAUUAAAGCUGUCUUUUCUUCUCUUGCCCCUAUCUCCUACUCUAAUCCUACUACUUACUACAUACUACUAGGAGUACAUCACAUAAUGGAAGGAAUUAUAUUUAGGCUAUGUUUGGCGAGAAACAUUUUUCAGCUUAUAACUUACUCACUCCGAGGUCACAUAUAUCAAUUAUUCAAUAAAUUUAAAAAAUAAUUUUUUUUUCUUAUAAUAGUGACAGAAGGAAGUAGUGUUUUUUUGGUAAAAUUGAUUUGUGUAAUAAUCGUCAUAUUCUUAUGAGUUUAUAAUUUAUUCUUAUUGACUUGUAGUGUUUUUUUAUAAGAUAACUUAACUGGCUUAUAGUUUAUCAUUUUUCAUCUUUAUUUUACCUUUGCUUAAUUGGAGAAAAAAAAUUAAAUAUUAAUGAAAUAAUUUUUUUGGUCUUUCAUAUUUAUAAGUUAGUUCAACGGUUAAUUUUAUCAAACACUACAAAUUCAAAAUAGUUAACUUAUCUGUUAUCAGCUAUAAGUUAGCAAACUCAAUUAUCGGGAUAAGUGAGCUAAUGCUCCAUAUAACAAGGAUAUUUUAUUUGAUGUAUUUGUAUUAAUUAUAUAUAUUUUUUAAAGACUAUUUUGGAAAGAAAGCGGAUAUACCAUGUCGAUUUUUCCGAUUACCGCACCGACCGAGAACAAUACUCGUUUUUAAACUGUAUAUUAUUCACAGAGAUUUUGUAUCUUAUUAAAGUGUUGUUUCAGAUUUAGAAACUGAGACGAAGACAACUAAUGACGUCGAAAGUUGUGGGGUUUGACAUUUUAGAAGCAUCUCUUCAUUGGGUUAGGUUGAUAGUUUGGAUAUUAGUAGACAAAAUGUAUAUAUAGUGUUCUUAUUUUGUUUGGGUUCUAUUUAUAAAGUGUUGACCUACGAUGAUUUAAACCAAUAAGAGAGUAAGUAUUAAAGAUAGUGUUCAAAAGCAAGUGUCGUUAGCAUUCCUCAAACAUGAGCUGAAUAAUCAUAUUAACAGCUAUUUCAACUAACAGAUUUAUAUAAUCAUUCUUUCUACUAACAAAAUUAUAUAAUCAUAUUAACAACUAUUUCAACUAAUUAUGAUCAGCAAAGAGCCUCUGUGUUGUUUAGUAAUAAUUAGUACAACUGCUGAAUAACAUGGCCUAAAUAUUCACCACUUGAUGUAUGUGGAUAUGUAUCAUUUACAGUAUCUUACAAAAUUCACCCGCCAAAGUAUAUCUGAAUCCUGAACAACAACUCUGGCCAUUCACUUGUGUGGUUAACCUCUUCAUCUUAGCAUUCCCCUAUUCUGAAAUAAGAUAAUGAAAAUUCAGCAGCUGUAUGUACUCACUCAAUUUAUUAUUUUCCUAUAGUCCUUUCAUUUAAAUCCUAACUUAUGUAUAUGUUAUACACAUAACAAAAAAGUAACAAUUAAAUUACUAUGUAUAUAUAUUUCAAAUACAUCAAACAAACUAAAAUAUUGGAAUAUUUACACUGAAAGUUUAUAUUAUUUCUAACUCUGAGACAGCUACUAAUAGUAAUACUAUUAUCAUACAUGCAAAAAAUAAUACUGUAAAAACACAUAAGCUUUUAGAAGAAAAGAUAUUUGAAGGCCAAAAUGACUUCUGAACUAGCUCAUUGAAACCAGUAGAGUAGUUUUACAUUUUACCAUCUAAAAUCUAAGUCCUCGCCAAAAGAAAAAUGAAAUCUUAGAACCUAUGAAGAAGUAGAUGUAGAAGAGCCGCUAACCCAUUUUUCAGCAACAGAAUCUGGUGAAGUUGGGUAAGGACCCUUCUUCAGAAGUACAAGCUCAUCUGUUCUGACAACAACAUCCAAUACUUUUGAUUCCUGUGUUUCAGGUUCAUCACUCUUGAUUGCUCGCAAUACCUCCACAAUCUCAUCCAUUGAAGGUCGCAGGUCUCUUUGUUGCUGCAAACACCUAAAUGCCAAUUCAGCCACUGCUGUUGUCAUCCUCUUCACAGAAUUGUCCUUUUCAUAUCCAAGAUUAGGAUCAACCAAAUCAUACAAUUCUUGGCUCUGAAUUUUAUUGACGGCCAUGUUAGCUAAGUUCACAUCGUUGCGAUGCCUGGUAAUAUCCACGGCUUGUAAUGAUGAUAUAAGCUCGACCAAGACUACGCCGAAGCUAUAAACAUCACUUUUGUCUGUGAGUUGGUAACACUGAUAGUACUCAGGAUCAACAUAACCAGGUGUUCCUUGUGGAGCUGUUGAUACAUGUGUGACAUCGUUCGGAAACAACCUUGAAAGACCGAAAUCAGCAACCUUAACAUGGAAUUUUUCGUCUAGGAGAAUGUUAUUCGAUUUAACAUCACGGUGCAUGACAUCCGAUGCAUGGAGAUAGGCUAGUGCCUCAGCUGUUUCUAAUGCAAUGUCCAAUCUUACAGACCAAGGAAGCAAACAGGAGCUUGAUCGGUCCCCAUGAAGAUGAUCAGCUACUGUUCCAUUUGAUAUGUAUUCAUAAACAAGGAGAAGCUCUCUGCUAUGUUUGGAGGUGCAUCCAUAGAGUGUCACCAGGUUCUUAUGCCUUAAGCGUGCUAGAAUCUCAACUUCAUUCAUGAAUUGCGCCACACGUUUAAAAUUGCUUUCGUAAUGGCGUUUAACUGCAACCACGCGUCCAUCUUUGAGAUCACCUGAUCAACAAUCAGAGGAUAUAUAGUUUAUAAGAAAACUAGAAAACUAAGGGAAAUCAAUUCUGUGAGAAAAUGUAUAUUGGAAAGUGGAAAUUAUAUUGUUAAUUACCUUUGUAAACAGUGCCGAAACCUCCCUCUCCAAGUUCUUUAGAAGUGUGGAAAUUGUUAGUAGCUUCUUCUAGUUCUUCAUAGGUAAAUACCUGGACACCAAAGUAGAAACUCUUUGGCAUUGUGCUGGUUUUGGAAGAGGGGUAAGAAGGAAUACUCUGAGACGAAUUAGUGGUGGAGGUUAGAGUGCCGGUGUUUGUGCCUGAGGUAGUGCUUGAAGGAGGCAUGUACAGGUCAUUGCUUAUUGGUUUCUUGGCAUUUUUCCUCCUUCGCCGCACCACAAAGCAUGCAACAAAGCCAAGAAGGCAAAGAGCUGCAACUCCUCCAACUACGCCACCUGAAGAUAAUGCUAGACAUUAGUAAAAUUUUACUUCUAAGAUCUAAAUUCAACCCAUCUAUUAGCAAAAUGGAAAUUACCUAUUAGACCGCCAUUGGUAGAGCUAUUACCUGCAACAUAAAAAAAUGAUGUCAGAACAAAGAAUAUGACAUGGAUAGAAAAGGGAUGGAAAAAAAUUAGCGGGCAAGUCUCAUGUUCUGUUGUUCCAAUAACAAUAAAACAUCUUAAGUUUUUGUUAUUCCAAUUAAUCAUCGUUAAUAUUCUGGUUUUAAAUUGCAGUAUACUACAAGAUAAAGAUUUUAGAGGUCUCAGCACCGACACCAUGAGUGGUUGCUUAAGGUAUAUUUAUCUGCAAUUUUUGCCAUAUAAAAAUCGCAAUGCAAUCACAGCUACAACCACAAUUUAAAUCAUGCUUAAAGUCAUUAGUUCUACAUGAAAUAAGAAUCAUCAACAAACACCAAACACAAUAGUUAACCAAAAGAAAAGCUAAAAUACCUGAAGGACACAACCCAUUACCACAAAUACAAAUAUGUUCGUUUUCAUCAGAAUCAAACCCACAUUGUUGGCCACCAGAACUAAUACACUCAAGACAAUCAUUCUCAAAAGGGUUGUUAUAAUUCACAUUAAACCCUUCCAUCAAAACCUCCCUAAGCAAAGAACGAUUACCAGCAAACCUAUUAGCUUGCUCUUCAAGAAUUGGCACCCCAACACCAUAAUCACAUUGAACAAACUUAAGAACUGGGUCUAAAGGAAAUGGACCAAUCAAAGUAUAUGAAUUGUUCUUAUAUCCAUUACUAUCACAGUAAAACAAAUUAUGUGGCUUUUCGGUGAAUAAUGAAGUGGGUUGGCACCCAUAAAACAAAGUAAUUUUACUGUUUCCCAAACCGUUGCUAAAGCUAGUUCCACCAAAAGUUGAGUUAACAUAAUGAUGGGUGCAUGUUUCAUUCCAAAGGUCUAAUCUUGCUAAGGUGAGAGAAUGAGUUACCGAGUUGACUUGAAGAACUCGGUAACUAACUGAGGAAAUGUUCAACUCUGGAACAUUGUUUUUGCAGUUCAGGUGAAACUGUGGUGGCCCACAGUAGGAAGGACGGUCGCCACCGGUGAAAGGGUAGGAAAGUUUGGUUAUGUGGCCACAGUUGAAGGUGGUGUUGUUGCAGCUAGAGAGUGAUGCAUGAGAGGGUAAAGAUGUCGUAUGACGGAGAUAGAAGAUGAAGAAGAUGAUGAAGGUGAUGAUGGGAGAAGAGAGGGACAAGGACAACAUAAUUUUGUUUCCUUAAUUUGGUUUUGUUGAAAUUUGCAAGCAUAGAAGAGUUGUUUUGUUACUUGUUGGGUUAGUAUUAUAAUGAGAUAAUAAUUAUCUAAUAGUUUGGACUGAAGAAAAAAAAUAAAGAACAGAAAACAUGAAGAUGAGUUUUGUUGACUUGGACUUUGAUGUCAUGUGAACAAUAUAUAAUCUAUAAACUGAGAUUUUUUAAGCAUUAUUUAGCAGCCAAGUGAGCCUUUUUCUAUUCAUUUUUUGUCCUGUUUGUAUUAUUUUAAAACAAUUGGCUGGUGGUAUAGUAAUAUAGUAUGUGGAAUUGAAAGGUAUAGUAUUUUAUGGUCAAGCAACAGUUUCUUAUUUGGUUGAAUGGAGGCUGUUCAAAAUCUAGAACUAUAUGGUUGAAAGGUAUUGGUCAAUAUAGAACACAUGGUUUGGAAGUUUUUGCAGGUUCAGAUGGUGGAAGUGUCUGCUUGAUUUUUUAUUUGUAUUUUUCUGGAGAGAAAGGGAAGAGGGGUUAGUUGGACUUGGUUAUAUUAGUUAAAUUGAACAGAUACAUGUAGUGACAUCAUUUGACAGGAAUAGUGGAACAUGUUCAAUGACAGUGGCAAUUGAGUUUAGUUUUAGAGAUUGAAUAUUUGGAGAAUUAAUAUAUAUGUCAUCAAUUCUAAAGUUUCAUUUUCAGAAAGAAAAAAAAUAAAUAGAGUAGCAGAAAUGGAAAAAAAAUCCAGUAUGGUUGUAUCUUCCAAUUUAUUCAUCUGUCAAAAUUUUCAUCCAAUUCAAAUUGUCUCUUACAUUUGCUAAAAAGAUAAUGAACUUUCAUGCCUAGUAAUGUUUAUGCAAGAAUUUUUAUACCUUGAGACUCUACCCUUUCUUUGCAGGAGGACUUUGUUGAGAGCAUAAGAAAUGGUUUGUGUUUAUAAAUGAGAGUCAUCUCUCAACUUAAAAGUUAGUUUUGUAGGGUUAAAUUAGUUCUAAAGCAAAUUUUAAGAUGGUAUCAAAGUCUAUCCAAGAUCUAUUUUCCCAUCCACUAUCAAGCUACGCAAGUCACGCUACAAAUAUCCAGUCUUAGGUGUGUGAGAUGAAAUACGGCCUAAUGAUAUGUUUAUGAGUGGAAGAUCUCUCACCUCACAAACUAGUUUUGUAAAGUUGAGUUAAAUCCAACCCAAAUUCUAAGAGUGUGUUUGGAUGGGGGAAUGUUUUGAGGGAAUGUAAUGUUAUGAGGGAAUUCAAAUACUUUGAGGUGAAUUCCAUUGUUUGAAUGGGGAAUGUAAUGUAAUGUUGAGGAAAUGUAAUGUUAUGAGGGAAUUCAAAUACUUUGAGGUAAAUUGUCUAGAAUUUUAAAUUCUUAAAUUUUCAAAUUACCUUAUCCAAACACACUCCAAGAGUUUUGAUGAUAAACUUGAUUUCCUUACUGCCCUAGUUUGUGUGGGUUUUCUUAUAAAAUACAUAACUAUAUACUAAACUAAUUGAAGUGGCCAAAUAUCCACCUUUGGAAAAAUAGGUUCAAGAUGGACAAAUCAACAUAAUUAGUUUACUCUAUAAAAAUCAUUUUAAUUUUCACCAAACGAAUAAAGCUACAAAGGCAAAAAGAAACCCAAUGCUAUCAAAAUAUCUUGUGAUAAAAAAGAGGUUAUUAAGAGUUAAGACCAACAACUUAAUCAAGGUGUCAAAGACUAUCAAAAUCGUAGAGACACCUACAAGACCAAAAAUAGAAUUCCUUUCAGAAGUCUUUAACAAGAUCAUCAAGAGACUCACAUCUACUAAUGCAAUAAAUUCUGCAUUUUGAAGGGGACAUGCAAAUCCAAAGUCAGAAAGGAGGAAUUAUUUGCAGAUAUUUGAUGAAAAAACGAAAAGAAUCUAAAUGAAAACAAGUCCUUAUUAGGAUUAUAAUUAGAAAAUCUAAGAGCUUGACGAGCUUCCAAGAUGAAAAGACAUUAUUGAAUGCAAAAACAUGACACAACAGUGGAACCUACAAUGGUGUUCACCUGAGCUACAUGAAUGUGGAAAGGAUCCAUCCUUGCAAAAGCAAGUGAAUUCCCUUGAACUUGACUCAUAACCACAGUGUCCACCAGAACUUUGACACUCAUGGCACAAACUAUUAUUUGCAUUCCACUCCACCCCAAAACCAUUAUCAAUAACAUCCUUCAAAUUUUCCACACUUGAAUUUGUUGCGACCCUUUCAGCCUCUGACUCCAAAAAUGGAACAACCACUCUAGAUUUGCAUGUUCUCAGUGUCUCACUAAACGAAUCCAAACUCUCGGCAUUAUCAGCAACGCUCUCCAACAUAAAAUAAUUAACCAUUUGAGUUCCAUUUAUACUACAGUUAAACUGCGGGGAAAAGCUAUCUGGCAUAAGAAAUGGGGUGUGAGGACAAUCAUAGUAGAGUGUCAAAUUAUGAGAAUCCGAACCAUAAUCGAAGAAAGUGCAAUCUAAUGUUGUGUUUUUAAGGCUGGUGGGACAAACAUUGUUCCAAUAAUCAGUUCUAACAACUUUGAGUCUAUGAUCUGAAUCACUGACUUCAAGAAUUUUAUAAUUUUGUGACAUAAUGGUAAUGCUUGCUAAUUCAUCUUUGCAUUGUAGCUCAAAAGAAGGGUGGCCACAAUAUUGUGGUCUACUUGAUCCCCAGAAAGGAUACCUCAAGUUUUUUAGGUUUGCACAGUCAAAUAAAGAACUGCAUUUAUUGUACUGCUGCAAAUUAUCAGCACAAGAUGAUGUUGGGAUUUUGAUUAGGAUUAUGGUUGUGAUCAAGAAUGAGAAGAUGCUUGGAUGAAGAAGUUGCAUCUUUAGUAAAAAUGGAUUUGUGGAGAAACAAAGGAUUUGGACACUGAAAUAGGAUUUUGCCAAGUUGAUGUGAGUUUGAUGAGUUUUAAAGUAUACUAGUAGUAUUGAAUUGAUGCAAAUGAAAAUUUAGGUCACCUAUAGUACUAAUAAUAUUUGUAUUUUCUGUUGGAAAUUAGUAUUACUUUACCUAACACUAGUAGAAAUGAGAGAAACUGUAAGAAUUGAUGCUUGGAGUCAAACAAUAAAUCAGUUUUCAAAUUACUAUGUCUAAAUACUCUAAACUACUCAAGCCUACCAAAUACUUAUGUGAUUCAUGAAUUAAUCAAAAGUCAAAAGUGGUGGGACAGUGACACGUUUCAACUUUUAACCAAUAAUAAAAAAAUAAAAGUAAAAAGUAAUCCCUAUAAAAAAAUGUAAUAAGUAUCAAAACAUUGAUAAAAGUCCCAAGUUUAAUAAGAUAUGGCAUGAAAAUGUGUUUAUAAGUGAGGACAAUCUUCAUUAAGAUUGAGUUAAACUCAACCCAAAGUUCUAAAAUGGUAUCACAAAUCUAUCUAAAAUCGUAUGAUAUCUUGUCAGCACUAUCGAAUCAUUCAGAUCACGAUUGAUACGUCCAAUUAUGACUGUGUGGAGGUUGCCAACGAUUUUAAUUCAGCAAAGGAGACUCUUUGACACGGUCAUAUCAUAUGGAUGGUGCCAAAAUUAGGCCACAUAAUAAUCCAAAUUAAAGAAUAUUGCUAGAGUUGGACCAAUUAAAACUCUAGGAUUUUCAAAGAUGUGACAACGUAAUAGUUUGGUGAAAAUCAUGUAGGAAAUGGUCAAGAGGAGAAAUUGUACGUAACCGAAAAAGUCAAGCAACUUAGUUCUGAAGGUAACAAGCAAUCUCCGACACAUUCUUCUUCAGGGGCCAUGGUGAAGAAUCAGUAAGAUGAAAAUUACCAUACUUAGAGUCUUUUAAUCUAAUUUUUUUAAUUAUAUUAUAAAUUAUAAGAAUUAUCUAUAUUUUAAGCCUAUGAAAAGUUGUUUUUUGACAGCAAAAGUUAAUAUUUUUUAGUGAUUGUACCAAAAGUUAAUUUUAGUAGUAAUUGUUAUCUAUUGAUAGUAAAGAAUGAACCUUCAUUCAAUUUUUUUGUCACUUUACUCCUUAACCCCCCAAACCAAUAUAACAUUCCCUUGAUUUUAUAGUAUUUGUUUUCAUCAUAAUUUUAUAGAAUAGAUAUCUUAAGAAACAUCUACUGAUAAAAUUUUCCUCAGAAGAAAAAAAUCUACCUGGUAAAAUCUGAUUGUAAAAAAGUUGAAACACUUAUUGGAUCAGGAUGAUCUCUAAAUUACUCUAUUAUUACUAUAACUAGUUGUAGAAACUAACUUAGGAGUUAAUUGUAUAAGAAAGUGAACUACAUACUUGAGGUUGGGGCCUUCCGUGAACCACAUAUAUCUGUAUAAGCUCCAUCAUUGCAGAAACAUCUGAAUUCAGUUCCAUUGUUGCCACACGCACCACCAGAAUCAACACACCUCUGGCAAUCUGCAUAAUUUCCCAUCCACCUCAAAUCAAAACCGCCUUGUAAUGCUUCGUUUAUAUCAUCAAGAUUUGUAAUUCUUGUUACCGAAAUUGGAAUCGCAAUAAUAACACUCAGAUUGCAUGUGAGUGAGAGCGAACGAGGAUCCGAAAGGGUGUACACAACUUCAAUAUUACCUCCGCAGUUGGCACUAUAAACCACAUUCAAUACAGUUGUAUCACAAUUGUAUAACAGAUUUAGUUGAGAAGAAACACUACCAUAAG